RNAcentral lists this ribosomal RNA (253 nucleotides) under uncultured bacterium. RNAcentral describes it as "partial 16S ribosomal RNA". It matches the Rfam family "Bacterial small subunit ribosomal RNA", at positions 524 to 776 of the family's 1533-position model. The record is from RNAcentral.
CACGUAGGGUCCGAGCGUUGUCCGGAAUUAUUGGGCGUAAAGGGCUCGUAGGCGGUUUGUCGCGUCGGGAGUGAAAACGCCGGGCUUAACUCGGUGCUUGCUUUCGAUACGGGCAGACUAGAGGCAUGCAGGGGAGAACGGAAUUCCUGGUGUAGCGGUGAAAUGCGCAGAUAUCAGGAGGAACACCGGUGGCGAAGGCGGUUCUCUGGGCAUGUCCUGACGCUGAGGAGCGAAAGUGUGGGGAGCGAACAGG